RNAcentral lists this ribosomal RNA (256 nucleotides) under uncultured bacterium. RNAcentral's name for it is "partial 16S ribosomal RNA". It matches the Rfam family "Bacterial small subunit ribosomal RNA", at positions 524 to 776 of the family's 1533-position model. The record is from RNAcentral.
GACGGAGGAUGCAAGUGUUAUCCGGAAUCACUGGGCGUAAAGCGUCUGUAGGUGGCUUUUUUAAGUCCGCCGUCAAAUCCCAGGGCUCAACCCUGGACAGGCGGUGGAAACUACCAAGCUGGAGUACGGUAGGGGCAGAGGGAAUUUCCGGUGGAGCGGUGAAAUGCGUAGAGAUCGGAAAGAACACCAACGGCGAAAGCAACUCUGCUGGGCCGACACUGACACUGAGAGACGAAAGCUAGGGGGAGCGAAUGGG